This 497-nucleotide ribosomal RNA is filed under the name uncultured bacterium. Its description in RNAcentral is "partial 16S ribosomal RNA". It matches the Rfam family "Bacterial small subunit ribosomal RNA", at positions 28 to 507 of the family's 1533-position model. The record is from RNAcentral.
GAUGAACGCUGGCGGCGUGCCUAAUACAUGCAAGUCGAGCGAACAGACGAGGAGCUUGCUCCUCUGACGUUAGCGGCGGACGGGUGAGUAACACGUGGAUAACCUACCUAUAAGACUGGGAUAACUUCGGGAAACCGGAGCUAAUACCGGAUAAUAUAUUGAACCGCAUGGUUCAAUAGUGAAAGGCGGUUUUGCUGUCACUUAUAGAUGGAUCCGCGCCGCAUUAGCUAGUUGGUAAGGUAACGGCUUACCAAGGCAACGAUGCGUAGCCGACCUGAGAGGGUGAUCGGCCACACUGGAACUGAGACACGGUCCAGACUCCUACGGGAGGCAGCAGUAGGGAAUCUUCCGCAAAGGGCGAAAGCCUGACGGAGCAACGCCGCGUGAGUGAUGAAGGUCUUCGGAUCGUAAAACUCUGUUAUUAGGGAAGAACAAAUGUGCAAGUAACUAUGCACGUCUUGACGGUACCUAAUCAGAAAGCCACGGCUAACUACGUG